Solanum lycopersicum (tomato) is the source of this 474-nucleotide non-coding RNA. The record is from RefSeq and is a predicted model, not a curated record. Lineage: Eukaryota; Viridiplantae; Streptophyta; Magnoliopsida; Solanales; Solanaceae.
AGCCUGCUAACUUCAUACGCUACCGGCGUUACGCCGUCGGAUUUCCGAUCAAAACCCUAAUUCAUCAUUGCAUUUAUGGUUACUCCACCGGAUUUCUUCAAUUCAUUAUCGAAAGAUGACCGAAAUUGUAAUGGAAGAUCUGCCUGAGAAGGUCAUCCCUGAAAUUGGUUACCAAUUAUUACACAAUUAUGCUGACCAAAUUCAGAACAGGUAUUGGACCUGCAACGUUCAUUCGCAAGCAUCAAGAUCAUGUACCAGGUUGGAACCUUUCAACUACACCUAGGUGGUUGUUUCGGCGUUAACUUAACUGAUGUGGAUCUGUUAGAGUUUCUUCAACAGGUAUCGAAUGAAAGUUGUGGAGUUGUUCUUGAAGGCCCCUGUCACGACCGGAAUCUAGACCCCAGACGAGACCGGCGUCGUUGACCUCUCAGAGGUCGCAGACAAGCCUGCUUACGUCAUUCUUACUUUACAUAG